UUUUAUGGAGAGUUUGAUCCUGGCUCAGGAUGAACGCUGGCGGCGUGCCUAAUACAUGCAAGUCGAGCGAACGGACGAGAAGCUUGCUUCUCUGAUGUUAGCGGCGGACGGGUGAGUAACACGUGGAUAACCUACCUAUAAGACUGGGAUAACUUCGGGAAACCGGAGCUAAUACCGGAUAAUAUUUUGAACCGCAUGGUUCAAAAGURAAAGACGGUCUUGCUGUCACUUAUAGAUGGAUCCGCGCUGCAUUAGCUAGUUGGCAAGGUAACGGCUUACCAAGGCAACGAUGCAUAGCCGACCUGAGAGGGUGAUCGGCCACACUGGAACUGAGACACGGUYCAGACUCCUACGGGAGGCAGCAGUAGGGAAUCUUCCGCAAUGGGCGAAAGCCUGACGGAGCAACGCCGCGUGAGUGAUGAAGGUCUUCGGAUCGUAAAACUCUGUUAUUAGGGAAGAACAUAUGUGUAAGUAACUGUGCACAUCUUGACGGUACCUAAUCAGAAAGCCACGGCUAACUACGUGCCAGCAGCCGCGGUAAUACGUAGGUGGCAAGCGUUAUCCGGAAUUAUUGGGCGUAAAGCGCGCRUAGGCGGUUUUUUAAGUCUGA
RNAcentral lists this ribosomal RNA (610 nucleotides) under Staphylococcus aureus. RNAcentral's name for it is "bacterial SSU rRNA". It matches the Rfam family "Bacterial small subunit ribosomal RNA", at positions 1 to 592 of the family's 1533-position model. Lineage: Bacteria; Bacillati; Bacillota; Bacilli; Caryophanales; Staphylococcaceae. The record is from RNAcentral.